ACCCAGUGGGGUAGAGCAAGUUGUCACGACCUUGGACACACUCCAACGCUACCAUGCCAGCAUUCGGACUUACUCAACCUUUUGAGUUAAGACCAAGUCAGCCUAACCCUCAAAUAUUUAGCAAGAAAGCUAAGAAUACAAGAGAAAGGAAGCUUUGGUGGAAAGAACAUUUUAUUACUCAAGUGUUUAUUACAAAUGAUUUACACACUC
Non-coding RNA from Arachis ipaensis, 210 nucleotides. Lineage: Eukaryota; Viridiplantae; Streptophyta; Magnoliopsida; Fabales; Fabaceae. The record is from RefSeq and is a predicted model, not a curated record.